AAAAAAUUUUUUCUUCGUUUGAUUUUGGGUUUAAGUGAUCUCCCCAGGUUUUUGUUUGCUCUAACGCUAAACACUUCACUUCUAUCAGACAACGAACAAGGCACAGGAAGGAAGACCAUCGCGAAGAAAAGCGAAGAAGAUGAAGGCCACCACGAGACCACCGCAAAAACGAAGAAGACGAAGACCAACAAACACCCUCACACCUCUCCCUUCCAUCAUCCACAUUGAGAGUUUCGCCUUUAAUUAAGGUAAAAUCUCAACUGGGUUACGAGCUUCCGGAACAGGUUCAUCUGCGACUGUGAACUGAAGUCACUGUUUUAAAGGUCUAAUAUCCGAAUGAAGUUGCAUGAGAGUUUACAAAGUUUAGGUAUCAAAUGCUUUGUUGAUAAAUUUGUCAAUUACUUUAAUGUAUUUGUCAACGUCGUUUGAUUUGUUUAAGCAAUUCUGUCAGUGUCAAUGAUUUUGCUUUUAGACUAGUGUUGAAUAGUUGACAAUUGUAAUAGUGUGGACUAGUCGAUUAGAUUGUGGAAUUUCUUGUGGUGGGGUUGCUUUCAUUCUCUAUG
This is a non-coding RNA of Camellia sinensis, 563 nucleotides long. The record is from RefSeq and is a predicted model, not a curated record. NCBI's taxonomy places the organism in Eukaryota, Viridiplantae, Streptophyta, Magnoliopsida, Ericales, Theaceae.